This 466-nucleotide ribosomal RNA is filed under the name uncultured ammonia-oxidizing beta proteobacterium. RNAcentral describes it as "bacterial SSU rRNA". It matches the Rfam family "Bacterial small subunit ribosomal RNA", at positions 198 to 645 of the family's 1533-position model. Lineage: Bacteria; Pseudomonadati; Pseudomonadota; Betaproteobacteria. The record is from RNAcentral.
GGAGGAAAGCAGGGGACCGCAAGACCUUGCGCUUUUGGAGUGGCCGAUGCCUGAUUAGCUAGUUGGUGGGGUAAUGGCCUACCAAGGCGACGAUCAGUAGUUGGUCUGAGAGGACGACCAGCCACACUGGGACUGAGACACGGCCCAGACUCCUACGGGAGGCAGCAGUGGGGAAUUUUGGACAAUGGGCGAAAGCCUGAUCCAGCAAUGCCGCGUGAGUGAAGAAGGCCUUCGGGUUGUAAAGCUCUUUCAGUCGAGAAGAAAAGGUUGUGACUAAUAAUCACAACUCAUGACGGUAUCGACAGAAGAAGCACCGGCUAACUACGUGCCAGCAGCCGCGGUAAUACGUAGGGUGCGAGCGUUAAUCGGAAUUACUGGGCGUAAAGGGUGCGCAGGCGGCUUUGUAAGUCAGAUGUGAAAUCCCCGGGCUUAACCUGGGAAUUGCGUUUGAAACUACAAGGCUAGA